GGGACGGGCCUGGCGCCGGAGAGGAGCCCGCACUCUGCCCGAAGUCUCGCCGCCCGCCGGCUGUUUUCUGGCGGAGGGUGCGCCCCGGAGGGCGGCGAGCGCGGGUGGAGGCUGCGGCCAGGCGCGGGUGGAGGCGUCGCCGGGGUCGGGCUAGCAGGCUCUGGGAUCGGGCUUGUGGGACACCCCGAAAAUAAAGACGCAGAGCCUCAGAGAAGUUAAACGAUUGAUCCUAUGUCAGGGGGUAGAGUCAAGACUCAUACCUAUGCCUUUUAACUUCAAGAUUGGACGACUGAUUAUUGGACAGAAUGGCAUCUUGUCGACACCUGCGGUCUCCUGCAUUAUCAGGAAGAUCAAGGCAGCUGGUGGAAUCAUUCUAACAGCCAGCCACUGCCCUGGAGGACCAGGGGGAGAGUUUGGAGUGAAGUUUAAUGUUGCCAAUGGAGAUGGAGUCUCGCUCUGUCACCCAGGCUGGAGUGCAAUGGCAUAAUCUUGUCUCACUGCAACCUCUGCCUCCCACGUUCAAGCCAUUCUCCUGCCUCAGUCUCCCGAGUAGCUGGGAUGACAGUCACCCGCCACCACGCCCAGCUAAUUUUUUGUAUUUUUAGGAGAGAUGGGGUUUCACUAUGUUGUCCAGGCUGGUCUCGAACUCCUGACCUAAUGAUCCGCCCACCUCAGCCUCUCAAAGUGCUGGGAUUACAUGCGUGAGCCAUCGCACCCAGCCUUAAAUUUGUAUUUUAACUUAGCAUGACAUUAGAUAGCAAAUAAAAAUACCAUGACAAG
This 780-nucleotide long non-coding RNA is filed under the name Homo sapiens (human). RNAcentral describes it as "HSALNT0038163". Lineage: Eukaryota; Metazoa; Chordata; Mammalia; Primates; Hominidae. The record is from RNAcentral.